This 76-nucleotide transfer RNA is filed under the name Clostridium tepidiprofundi DSM 19306. RNAcentral's name for it is "tRNA-Gly". It matches the Rfam family "tRNA". From Rfam's summary of the family: Transfer RNA (tRNA) molecules are approximately 80 nucleotides in length. Their secondary structure includes four short double-helical elements and three loops (D, anti-codon, and T loops). The record is from RNAcentral. Lineage: Bacteria; Bacillati; Bacillota; Clostridia; Eubacteriales; Clostridiaceae.
GCGGAAAUAGCUCAGUUGAUAGAGCGCUACCUUCCCAAGGUAGAUGCCGUGGUUUUGAGUCCCGUUUUCCGCUCCA